UUUGUUUCCCUGUGUUGGCUGGGAUUGGCUCCAGCAGACCCCCAUGACUCUGUAGUUAGGAAAUAGCAGGUUCGAUAAUGGGUGGAUGUAUGGACUAAUAAAAGUUAGGGACAAGCUUCUAAUAAUGGCUGAACAGGACCGUUGGCUGCAUGUACAAGCAAAUGCUAGAUAAGAGUGGAAAAACAGAUAAGUGCCGAUUUUGCCAAACCGAGAUGGAAACAAGUCACUAAUCGGAUUGCCGGAUGUGAGGUCCUGAUGGAGGAAAGGCUUACACACGCGAUGAUACAAUAACGUUGCCAGACCAACGCAUUGGAAAAUAUACAAAAAAUAUAACUUGCCAGCACCACAGAUGUAACAAAUAACCGAAAACGAGGAGGUGUUGGUCACUUGGGACAGAAAGAGAGAUGAAAGGAAACGAGACGUAGCUGUCAAAGAGAAAAACAGUCUGAUAAAGCAGGAGCCGAGCGAUUAGAGUGCUCAGAAUAGAAAGACCAAAAAAAUAAUAAUAACCAAAUGUCCAGAAAUGCAAUUGGAGGAUGAGCCAGAUGUGGAGUAAAACUAGCGAGAUUGUGCGAGUGUUGCCGCGGUGAACAGGCCGUACCUCGAAAAAUAAAAUGAAGGACGAAUUCUGAAAGAGGACUUGUGAGGAUUCUCAAGAACACAAUAAAGAAGCAACACGGAUAACCAAACUACAGACAGAAACAGAAAUCAUCCAACUACAAGAAAUGUCCCGGACUGAGGUGAGAAACGCACGGAGGACCGGAAGGCUCCAGAUGGUCCCGGCGCAGCAUCAACCCUCUGGUGGAGCACCAGUCAUUCUUGUAUUAUGGUCAAGUCAGGGUUCCUUGCUUGGCUCCUGCUUAAAGUGCUUCAUUAUGAUUUUAAUUGUUUUCCGUUACAGAUACGCUCACCAGCCACUUUAUUAGGUACACCUGCUUGUUAUCUAAUCAGCCAAUCACACGGCAGCACAUAGUCAAGACGGCAUCAACAUGGGGAAAAGAAAGGGGAUUGAAGGGACUUUGACACAUGGCAUGGUUGUUAGUGCCAGACUUGGCUGGUCUGAGGAUUUCGGAAACUGCUCAUCUGCUGGGAUUUUCAUGCACAGCCUUACGGAGAAUGGUCCGAAAAGCCAAAAUAUUCAAUGAGCGGCAGUUCUCUGGGUGAAAGUGCCUUGUUGAUGCCAGAGGUCAGAGAAGAAUGGCCAGAGUGGUUCGAGCUGAUAGAAAGGCAACGGUAACUCAAAUAAGUACUCGUCAUGUAGAAGAGCAUCUCUGAACACACCUUGAAGCAGGAGACCACACCGGGUGACACUCCUGUCGGCUGAAAACAGGCAUCUGAGCCAACAGUUCACACGGGCUCACCAGAACUGGACAACGGAAGACUGGGAAAAACAUUGCCAGGACUGACGAGUCUCGGUUUCUGCUGCAACAUUUGGAUGGUAGGGUCAGAACUUGGUGUGAACACCAGAAAAGCCUGGAUCCGUCCUACCUUGUGUUAAUGAUUCAGGCUGGUGGUGUUAUGGUUUGGGGGAUAUUUUCUUGGCACACUUUGAGCCCCUUAGUACCAACUGAGCAUCAUUUAAAUGACCACAGCCAACCUGAGUAUUGUCACUGACUAUGUUCACCCCUUUAUGACUGCAGUGUCCCUAUCUUCUGAUGGCUCCUUCAAGUAGGAUAACGUGCCAUGUCACAAAGCUCGGAUCAUCUCCAACUGGCUUCUUGAACAGGACAAUGGAGUUCACUGGACUCAAAUGGUCACCAGAUCUCAAUCCAGUAGACCACCUUUGAGAUGUGGUGGAACAGGAGAUUGGCAUCAUGGAUGUGCAGCAACUGUGUGAUGCUAGUAUGUCAAUAUGGACCAAAAUCACGGGGGAUUUUUUAUAGCGCCUUGUUGAGUCUAUGGUGUGAAGAAUUAUGGCAGUUCUGAAGGCAAGGUGUACCUAAUAAAAUGGCCGACAACAUUAACACUCACCAACAGUUCCUGAUAUACCCAAAGGUCAGGCUCUACUAAUCUUUUUCUGGUCCAGAGUUGGGAGACCCAUUGGUGAUUCAAAUCCUGCAGCAAACAAGGAAUGUUCUUCGUGCCGAACCUCGGUGAGCCUCAAGCAAGGAGAAUCCAUUGCUCAGGGACCAUGGAGGCAAAGGUCACGGCAAGAUGUGCAGACAUUCCCAGGUUUGAAGAAAUGGCUGACUUGGAGCAAAUAUUUCUACGCACCGCUAUCACUGAUCUCUUGCCUGACCUUCCGGAGGCCACAAAAGAUAUUCCAGAAGAGAACUUGCAGUCCUUUGGGGUGGAGACAUAUGAUGAUUUGAGGAAGCCGAUUUGCUGUCAGCGUUGAAGCCAGGAAAGUCCUUGCUGCUUGGAAGCGGAGAUGCCAGACUCCUGAAAGCAGCAGUUCUUCUGCUGGUGCCUCACCAGGACCUCCCGGAUCCUUAGUCUCCUUCACCCAGUUCAUCCUCUGUUACUGUAAGCACUUAAGGACAAUCCUGCUAUUUUUCAAGGCGGUUCAUGCUGAGUGUUGAUCGAAACAUUGUAAGCAACAACGUACCCUUCCUUCGUUUCUGCCCUGUGCAUGAUGUUUGGGAGCGAUUAUUGCUUCAACAUCCAUUACCCAUCGGAGCUGGCAUCAACUCUGGAGUUUCUGCAGGGGUGUCACUUUGACUUGGCUUUACCCAAUUUUUACACAAAAAUCUAAAAUAGCUGCUGCAUUUAACUUCGAGGUUAACCCAUCAUUGCACCUUCUUACUAUUA
Polypterus senegalus (gray bichir) is the source of this 2751-nucleotide long non-coding RNA. RefSeq lists it as uncharacterized. The record is from RefSeq and is a predicted model, not a curated record. The transcript is spliced from 5 exons. Lineage: Eukaryota; Metazoa; Chordata; Cladistia; Polypteriformes; Polypteridae.